GUCCGGGUGGUGAAAUUGGUAGACACGCUACUUUGAGGGGGUAGUGAUCAUAACGAUCGUGUGAGUUCGAAUCUCAUCUCGGACACUA
This 88-nucleotide transfer RNA is filed under the name Bacteroides sp. CAG:144. RNAcentral's name for it is "transfer RNA-Leu(GAG)". It matches the Rfam family "tRNA". Rfam says of the family: Transfer RNA (tRNA) molecules are approximately 80 nucleotides in length. Their secondary structure includes four short double-helical elements and three loops (D, anti-codon, and T loops). Further hydrogen bonds mediate the characteristic L-shaped molecular structure. tRNAs have two regions of fundamental functional importance: the anti-codon, which is responsible for specific mRNA codon recognition, and the 3' end, to which the tRNAs corresponding amino acid is attached (by aminoacyl-tRNA synthetases). tRNAs cope with the degeneracy of the genetic code in two manners: having more than one tRNA (with a specific anti-codon) for a particular amino acid; and 'wobble' base-pairing, i.e. permitting non-standard base-pairing at the 3rd anti-codon position. The record is from RNAcentral. Lineage: Bacteria; Pseudomonadati; Bacteroidota; Bacteroidia; Bacteroidales; Bacteroidaceae. RNAcentral also lists the same sequence under 1 other name.